GAACACGUGUGCAACCUGCCUUUAUCAGGGGGAUAGCCUUUCGAAAGGAAGAUUAAUACCCCAUAAUAUAUUGAGUGGCAUCACUUAAUAUUGAAAACUCCGGUGGAUAGAGAUGGGCACGCGCAAGAUUAGAUAGUUGGUGAGGUAACGGCUCACCAAGUCUGCGAUCUUUAGGGGGCCUGAGAGGGUGAUCCCCCACACUGGUACUGAGACACGGACCAGACUCCUACGGGAGGCAGCAGUGAGGAAUAUUGGACAAUGGGUGCGAGCCUGAUCCAGCCAUCCCGCGUGAAGGACGACGGCCCUAUGGGUUGUAAACUUCUUUUGUAUAGGGAUAAACCUACUCUCGUGAGAGUAGCUGAAGGUACUAUACGAAUAAGCACCGGCUAACUCCGUGCCAGCAGCCGCGGUAAUACGGAGGGUGCAAGCGUUAUCCCGGGAUUUAUUGGGUUUAAAGGGUCCGUAGGCGGAUCUGUAAGUCAGUGGUGAAAUCUCACAGCUUAACUGUGAAACUGCCAUUGAUACUGCAGGUCUUGAGUGUUGUUGAAGUAGCUGGAAUAAGUAGUGUAGCGGUGAAAUGCAUAGAUAUUACUUAGAACACCAAUUGCGAAGGCAGGUUACUAAGCAACAACUGACGCUGAUGGACGAAAGCGUGGGGAGCGAACAGGAUUAGAUACCCUGGUAGUCCACGCCGUAAACGAUGCUAACUCGUUUUUGGGUUUUCGGAUUCAGAGACUAAGCGAAAGUGAUAAGUUAGCCACCCUGGGGAGUACGAACGCAAGUUUGAAACUCAAAGGAAUUGACGGGGGCCCGCACAAGCGGUGGAUUAUGUGGUUUAAUUCGAUGAUACGCGAGGAACCUUACCAAGGCUUAAAUGGGAAAUGACAGGCUUAGAAAUAGGCUUUUCUUCGGACAUUUUUCAAGGUGCUGCAUGGUUGUCGUCAGCUCGUGCCGUGAGGUGUUAGGUUAAGUCCUGCAACGAGCGCAACCCCUGUCACUAGUUGCCAUCAUUAAGUUGGGGACUCUAGUGAGACUGCCUACGCAAGUAGAGAGGAAGGUGGGGAUGACGUCAAAUCAUCACGGCCCUUACGCCUUGGGCCACACACGUAAUACAAUGGCCGGUACAGAGGGCAGCUACACUGCGAAGUGAUGCAAAUCUCGAAAGCCGGUCUCAGUUCGGAUUGGAGUCUGCAACUCGACUCUAUGAAGCUGGAAUCGCU
RNAcentral lists this ribosomal RNA (1220 nucleotides) under Chryseobacterium gleum. Its description in RNAcentral is "bacterial SSU rRNA". It matches the Rfam family "Bacterial small subunit ribosomal RNA", at positions 111 to 1336 of the family's 1533-position model. Lineage: Bacteria; Pseudomonadati; Bacteroidota; Flavobacteriia; Flavobacteriales; Weeksellaceae. The record is from RNAcentral.